AACUUUCAACAACGGAUCUCUUGGUUCUGGCAUCGAUGAAGAACGCAGCGAAAUGCGAUAAGUAAUGUGAAUUGCAGAAUUCAGUGAAUCAUCGAAUCUUUGAACGCACAUUGCGCCCUGUGGUAUUCCGCAGGGCAUGCCUGUUC
Molecule: ribosomal RNA, 146 nt
Filed under: Phialocephala fortinii
Lineage: Eukaryota; Fungi; Ascomycota; Leotiomycetes; Helotiales; Mollisiaceae
Also listed under: 3 other names
Description: 5.8S ribosomal RNA
Rfam family: 5.8S ribosomal RNA
About the family: 5.8S ribosomal RNA (5.8S rRNA) is a component of the large subunit of the eukaryotic ribosome. It is transcribed by RNA polymerase I as part of the 45S precursor that also contains 18S and 28S rRNA.
Source: RNAcentral